GUUUCAUUUCUCAUUUUUAGUCUUGUUUUUUUUUUUAAAGGAAUGGUUUAAUAAUUCCAGUCAGGAUGAAGAUGAAGAUCUUUUAUCAUCUGACGACUCUGUUGAUGGACUCACAACUCAUACUGAUUCAACAUCCAGUUCUCUCACUGACUCCAGCAGUACCAUAACGAACAGCAUCAACACUCUGCAGGCUGGUGAGGAUCAGGAAUCAUUUGACUCUUUUGAGUUUGAAUCAGACUCUGCGGCAUCUGAGCAAGACUCUCCAGUCCAAGACAAAUUAUCCAUCUAUAGUCCACAGGACGG
Molecule: long non-coding RNA, 303 nt
Organism: Carassius carassius (crucian carp)
Lineage: Eukaryota; Metazoa; Chordata; Actinopteri; Cypriniformes; Cyprinidae
Exons: 3
Source: RefSeq, a predicted model, not a curated record